Molecule: ribosomal RNA, 497 nt
Filed under: uncultured bacterium
Lineage: Bacteria
Description: partial 16S ribosomal RNA
Rfam family: Bacterial small subunit ribosomal RNA
Source: RNAcentral
GAUGGACGCUGGCGGCGUGCCUAAUACAUGCAAGUCGAGCGAACAGACGAGGAGCUUGCUCCUUCGACGUUAGCGGCGGACGGGUGAGUAACACGUAGGUAACCUACCUAUAAGACUGGGAUAACUUCGGGAAACCGGAGCUAAUACCGGAUAAUAUUUCGAACCGCAUGGUUCGAUAGUGAAAGAUGGCUUUGCUCUCACUUAUAGAUGGACCUGCGCCGUAUUAGCUAGUUGGUAAGGUAACGGCUUACCAAGGCAACGAUACGUAGCCGACCUGAGAGGGUGAUCGGCCACACUGGAACUGAGACACGGUCCAGACUCCUACGGGAGGCAGCAGUAGGGAAUCUUCCGCAAUGGGCGAAAGCCUGACGGAGCAACGCCGCGUGAGUGAUGAAGGUCUUCGGAUCGUAAAACUCUGUUAUUAGGGAAGAACAAACGUGUAAGUAACUGUGCACGUCUUGACGGUACCUAAUCAGAAAGCCACGGCUAACUACGUG